GAUGAACGCUGGCGGCGUGCCUAAUACAUGCAAGUCGAGCGAACGGACGAGAAGCUUGCUUCUCUGAUGUUAGCGGCGGACGGGUGAGUAACACGUGGAUAACCUACCUAUAAGACUGGGAUAACCUCGGGAAACCGGAGCUAAUACCGGAUAAUAUUUUGAACCGCAUGGUUCAAAAGUGAAAGACGGUCUUGCUGUCACUUAUAGAUGGAUCCGCGCUGCAUUAGCUAGUUGGUAAGGUAACGGCUUACCAAGGCAACGAUGCAUAGCCGACCUGAGAGGGUGAUCGGCCACACUGGAACUGAGACACGGUCCAGACUCCUACGGGAGGCAGCAGUAGGGAAUCUUCCGCAAUGGGCGAAAGCCUGACGGAGCAACGCCGCGUGAGUGAUGAAGGUCUUCGGGUCGUAAAACUCUGUUAUUAGGGAAGAACAUAUGUGUAAGUAACUGUGCACAUCUUGACGGUACCUAAUCAGAAAGCCACGGCUAACUACGUG
RNAcentral lists this ribosomal RNA (497 nucleotides) under uncultured bacterium. RNAcentral's name for it is "partial 16S ribosomal RNA". It matches the Rfam family "Bacterial small subunit ribosomal RNA", at positions 28 to 507 of the family's 1533-position model. The record is from RNAcentral.